Molecule: unclassified non-coding RNA, 246 nt
Filed under: uncultured fungus
Lineage: Eukaryota; Fungi
Description: partial contains 5.8S ribosomal RNA, internal transcribed spacer 2, and large subunit ribosomal RNA
Rfam family: 5.8S ribosomal RNA (bases 1-52)
Source: RNAcentral
AACGCACAUUGCGCCCGCUAGUAUUCUAGCGGGCAUGCCUGUUCGAGCGUCAUUUCAACCCUCAAGCCCUGCUUGGUGUUGGGGCCCUACAGUCUCUGUAGGCCCUGAAAACUAGUGGCGGGCUCGCUAUAACUCCGAGCGUAGUAGUAAUAUCUCGCUUAGGACGUGAUGGCGGGAUCCGGCCGUUAAACCCCUAAGUUUCUGAAUGUUGACCUCGGAUCAGGUAGGAAUACCCGCUGAACUUAA